Molecule: non-coding RNA, 74 nt
Organism: Zopfochytrium polystomum
Lineage: Eukaryota; Fungi; Chytridiomycota; Chytridiomycetes; Chytridiales; Chytridiaceae
Source: the annotation of a GenBank genome assembly
GGGCAUAUGGCAAAAUGGUUACCCGCGUUCGACUUUGGCUCGAAAGAUUGCAGGUUUAAGUCCUGCUAUGCUCA